UAGGGAAUCUUCCGCAAUGGGCGAAAGCCUGACGGAGCAACGCCGCGUGAGUGAUGAAGGUCUUCGGAUCGUAAAACUCUGUUAUUAGGGCAGAACAAAUGUGUAAGUAACUAUGCACGUCUUGACGGUACCUAAUCAGAAAGCCACGGCUAACUACGUGCCAGCAGCCGCGGUAAUACGUAGGUGGCAAGCGUUAUCCGGAAUUAUUGGGCGUAAAGCGCGCGUAGGCGGUUUUUUAAGUCUGUUGUGAAAGCCCACGGCUCAACCGUGGAGGGUGAUUGGAAACUGGACAACUUUGGUGCAGCAGAGGAAAGUGGAAUGCCAUGGGUAGCGGUGAAAUGCGCAGAGAUAUGGAGGAACACCAGUGGCGAAGGCGACUUUCUGGUCUAUAACUGACGCUGAUGUGCGAAAGCGUGGGGAUCAAACAGG
This 429-nucleotide ribosomal RNA is filed under the name Actinomycetes bacterium. RNAcentral's name for it is "Actinobacteria bacterium partial 16S ribosomal RNA". It matches the Rfam family "Bacterial small subunit ribosomal RNA", at positions 355 to 776 of the family's 1533-position model. Lineage: Bacteria; Bacillati; Actinomycetota; Actinomycetes. The record is from RNAcentral.